Molecule: ribosomal RNA, 920 nt
Filed under: uncultured bacterium
Lineage: Bacteria
Description: bacterial SSU rRNA
Rfam family: Bacterial small subunit ribosomal RNA
Source: RNAcentral
AGAGUUGAUCCUGGCUCAGAGUAAACGUUGGCGGCGUGCCUAACACAUGCAAGUCGAACGAUCUCCUUGUAGCUUGCUAUUUGAAGAGAGUGGCGAACGGGUGAGUAACACGUGGGUAAUCUCCCCUCGAGUGAGGAAUAACUCCGCGAAAGCGGAGAUAAUACCGCAUAAUAUUCUGGAGCAUAUGCUUUCAGAAUCAAAGCUUUCCGAGCAAUCGGAUGGCGCUUGAGGAUGAGCCUGCGGCCUAUUAGCUAGUUGGUAGGGUAAUGGCCUACCAAGGUAAUGAUGGGUAGCCGGCCUGAGAGGGUGUACGGCCACACUGGGACUGCGACACGGCCCAGACUCCUACGGGAGGCAGCAGUGGGGAAUUUUGCGCAAUGGGCGGAAGCCUGACGCAGCGACGCCGCGUGGAGGAUGAAGGCCUUCGGGUUGUAAACUCCUGUCAGAGGAAAAGAAGCCCCGAUUUAUCGGGGUUGACGGUAUCCUCGGAGGAAGCCCCGGCUAACUACGUGCCAGCAGCCGCGGUAAUACGUAGGGGGCAAACGUUGCUCGGAAUUACUGGGCGUAAAGGGUGUGUAGGUGGCUGAGUAAGUCAAAGAUGAAAUCCCAAGGCUCAACCUUGGAACUGUCUUUGAAACCGUUCAGCUUGAGGAUAGUAGAGGAGGACGGAAUUCCCGGUGGAGCGGUGAAAUGCGUAGAUAUCGGGAGGAACACCAGAGGCGAAGGCGGUUCUCUAAACUAUUCCUGACACUGAAACACGAAAGCUAGGGGAGCAAACGGGAUUAGAUACCCCGGUAGUCCUAGCUGUAAACGAUGGGCACUAGAUGUUUUCGCUUUUUUGCGAAAGUGUCGUAGCUAACGCGUUAAGUGCCCCGCCUGGGGAGUACGGUCGCAAGGCUGAAACUCAAAUGAAUUGACGG